GGAUGGAUGCACGUUGAGCAGGUUGAAGGGACGUAUGUGCACAGUGAAGCGCAGAUGGAUGUGCAUCUGGUCUUCGGUCCAGUCGAGGAGCCCCCAGGUGAACGGGUGCGAAGCCCCAGUGUCCGGUGGUCAGGCGGGGGCCUCACCUUCGGUGUGCAGCCUGUGGCAGAUCUGCUCGGUCACGAGUGAGUUGAUUACGGCGGGUGAAGGCAGGCGGUGUGGGAGGAAGCGGGUGAGGGAUUACGCGCACCCGCUUCCUCUCCUUUCCCCCUUGAUUGAGGGCUGCGACCGCUUUGUGCAUUCAUCAACACCGGUUUAAUGAAGUGAUCAGAGGCGGAGAUCAGACGCAGCCCUGGAAUAUUACUCCAUUACCCCCCCAAGCUCCCUGACCCCAGGCAUUAGGCCGCUGCUCCCUCACCCUGCAGGAGCACCGAGGAUGAAUAUGAAGUGAUUGUCUGCCCGUCCUCUGCCAGCGCGGACCUCCUUCUGGAAAUGAAAAGGACAAUCCUUCCUGCGCUUCAAACAGAGCGCGCCGAGCAGCCCCGGCCUCUCCCUCGCGGCGAUGAUGUUAAUAAACUGUCAGCGUGUGGCACUUUGUAAUUGGGUUUGUGCCUUGUUUAACAAAGAGCGAUUGGAUAGUUAGGAGGGAGAGCGGCAAUCUAUCCGCCUCUCCCGUGAAAUGAGCCGAGUGUCUCAUCCGUGAAUGUGUUGUCCCAGAGGAGCGGCGUCUGAGAUGUGUCUGUUAUCCCUGGUAAAUAAACCGAGGCGCAGGAAGCAGCCCCCUGCAAACAAACACUCCUGACAUCAUAAAGCAUGUGUAAUGCCGUCAUAAACAUGACGCGCCUCGCGCCGUAACCGCUCGCACCGCUUCGUUCCCAACAAAUGAGCCGGCGUGCUUAUUCAUGACGUCCUGUGAUUUAAGGACCGCCGUACACCAAAGACACAAAGACAGAGUGUCCUGCAGGAGGAGGAGGUCUCUCUUUUAUGCAAGAGGAGGUCGUUCAUUUCACGCAGAAGAAGCUCUCUUACAUUGUUAAAAAAAAAAAGAUUUUCCCUAACAAUUUUACAGAGAAACACAUUUAUUUUAUAAAUUUAUGGAUCUCGCACUUCAUUUGAAUGAACUCAUUUUACCUUAAUUUUACGUUUUUUGUUUGACAGGCGCUGAUGCCAGUCAUUUGACUGUGAUUUUACAUGAUUUGAAUUUAAUUUAAAAAAAACAGUAAAAUACUAAUUACAUAUUUCUUCUGUAAAAACAUGAGAAAAAAAAAAGAAUUGCCAUUUUUAGCAUAAUACUUACAUUUACAGUUGAACUGUUAAUUUAUAGGUGAUAUCUUUAUUUUUACAGAGUUUUGUACAUAACUCUAAAAAAAAAGGAAAAAAAAUGUAAAAGUUAUUUUCCGUAAAAUUGCGACCUUUUUUUACAGUGUACCCGAUGUAGCAGGUCACUCACCUCAUGCAGGAGGAGGUCUCUCACCUCAUGCAGGAGGAGGUCUCUCACCUCAGGCAGGAGGAGGAGGUAUCCGUCCCAGUAAAAAGCACUUUAGAAACAGCCGUGCUCGGCUUCAUCAGCCACUAAGCCGACUCCGGCUCCGACCAAUCAGUUCCGAGUCCCGCAGCCAGGCCUCCCUUUGGCCACUUCCUGCUGAGAUAAAACCAUCAGCCACGGGCUCUGCCCCCCCCCCCCUGCCGGUGGAGACGGCGACCCGGUGAGGGGUGAUGGGGGAAGGCUGGCAGCAGGUGACAGCAGAGCGAGUUUCCCUCAGCAGGUGACACCUCAACCCUGAAGCACUGAUGCCUCCUUAUCGCCGCUGACAUGGAGAGAAAACGCUGACGAUCCAGCAAGUUUUUUUUUUUACCAGUUAUCUGCUGAGCGAGUUCAUUCCUCCAAGAAGAAUCCACGUGGAAGCAGAGACUCAAGAAGAACUGCACAUCGUCUUUUCGCAUGCAGGUUUGGUCCAAGAACAGCAGAGUGAUGCCUUAUGGAUGAGACAUCAUGGCCGGUGCCCGGCAGCGUCAGAGCGAUGCCGGGGGGGUUCGACAGCUGUCAGUGAGUGUCCUGUAAAGAAGGUGGGUCACAGCUUCUCCGAGGAAAGAACCAGACCUGCCUCUGUGCUGGGACGCAAUCACAGUCUUUAGGAUGAGAGCUGGUGACUCAGGUGAAGGGGGCAUCGCAGUGGUGAAAUGAAGCCGGUCUAAUACACACACUGCGUCCUCGUGUGAAUAUAUUAAUGCAUUAUUUCUACAGCUGCUGACCUGAGCGCUUCAAGCCAGCCAUUAGGACGCUUAGUUUAGACCUGGUUAAACCGCGGAAAGGACUCGAGACUCGAGGCUGGUCAGAUCAGUCGCGCUUAGCGAGGUGACGGACGUAGGACGACUGACUCGAGACUUGUCUCACAGUGUCCCCUUGGAUCCGCAUUAGAUCGUUCACCUGUUUUUCCCCUGUCUCCUCCCACACCAGGUGUUCCCUGUUGGCCAAUUAUCCCUCGGGCAUAUAACCUGUGUCUUCUCCCUGUUCCUGUUGCCAGUUCGUCUUGUGUGUUCCACCAGGUCUUACCAGCGUUGUAUCCCUGUAGUGCCCAGUCGAUUCUAGAGAUCCCCCGUGUACGGAACUCCUGCCUGCCUCCGACACCGACACCGCCUGCCCGAAUUCCUCUACAUUAAAGCUUAUUCCUCACAUCUGCGUUUGGGUCUCUGUCUGAGCUGUGAUACGUUCUCACGACUUGUCGACUGUGUUUCUUGUCCACAGACCGGCUAACGGUACUUCGUUUCGGAAGUUGGACUCAAUCACUUUGGUUUUAAUGCUUCUGCAAAACGCUACUUGGUUUGUCUCCGACUGAAACUUACCAAAGAUCAAGAAAACAAUCCAGAAAAAGAACAUUGUGUCCCUGGUCAGAGGUGAGGUACCAGUAAGAGUUCCACAAACGAGGUGUUGUCAGUUGUUGUUCUGCAAUGCAUUGUGGGAAACUACUGUGCUUUAGCAGCCCACUUGGAUAUCAAGUGGAUUUAGUAUAAACUCUUUUUUUCAAAAGCUCCACAGAAUAAGUCUGAGAUUCAGUGUGUAGGGUGAUGACUCACCAGUUGUAGAGAGCGUGUGUGUGUGUGUGUGUGUGUGUGUGUGUGUGUGUGUGUGUGUGUCUCCAUUACAAGUUUGAGGUUUAGGGCUGAGGCUGAUUGACACCAUCAGCCUGUCGCCUCGCUUCGUGUUCUUUGUCAUCGUCCAUCUCUUCCUCACUGGGGAUGAAGAGCUAAAGGAAGGAAUCAGAUAUGAAUAUUAUUUCUCCCUGUCUGAGAUCUCCAGUCCGACAGCGAGCUUCAACCCCCCCAAGACCCCCGCUCGUCUGCAGCAAUAACAGCAGACAACAAACUUGUUAAAAGUCUGGGCCUUCACUCAGACUAAAGCUUCUAGUUUCCCAGAACAAGAUGCUCUGGACUUUUAACUGUGUCUGGACAAAAAUAAGUCUUUCAUUUCCAGAAGGAUAAUACGGACAUUUAAAUUCUCUUUGAGUCAGAAGACCUCGUCCAUCGUGAUUACUAAGUGUCACCUGUAAUUUAUUAACAGCAACAAUUUUAAACACAAUCAAUUCAUUUCAGCAGAAUCAACUAGAAGGAAUGAAACGGGUCUUUAGACAUGCAAACGUGUGAACAUAAUAGCUGUGCAAUUUCUUAUUAACGUUCUCUACUGAAAUGUACAUUUCUUCCCAAUCAGCAUUGUGAAAAAACACGACUGAUUGUUUGUGGUUUGUGUGUUUGCAUUAGCCUGCUAGCUCACUGGUAGCCAUCACUAAAGUGUCUGGUUGGAGUUAGCAUGUCACACGGCACGAGCUCCACUAUUUAAUGAAGAUAUUCAAAUAAAAUCAAUAAAUAGUCUCUGGUGUCUGCAGACACAACUUUCUCAUUCUAAUAUGUGAAUGAUACUACAAUAAAACACAAGGCCUGAUGACUAGAUGUCCCUCACAGCUGAUAACCCCAUCGCUCCAUCGAGGUCGUAGGUCACACCUGGGGAGGGUGUGGUCGACCUGGAAGAACACCUUAAACACAUUUUUGUCUGAACUUCUGGACUGUGUUGUAAGAUUUGACACAGAGUUUACUUCCU
Gasterosteus aculeatus aculeatus (three-spined stickleback) is the source of this 4093-nucleotide long non-coding RNA. NCBI's taxonomy places the organism in Eukaryota, Metazoa, Chordata, Actinopteri, Perciformes, Gasterosteidae. The record is from Ensembl.